RNAcentral lists this unclassified non-coding RNA (335 nucleotides) under soil metagenome. Its description in RNAcentral is "partial contains 5.8S ribosomal RNA, internal transcribed spacer 2, and large subunit ribosomal RNA". The stretch from base 1 to 120 matches the Rfam family "5.8S ribosomal RNA", at positions 35 to 154 of the family's 154-position model. The record is from RNAcentral.
GAUGAAGAACGUAGCGAAAUGCGAUAAGUAAUGUGAAUUGCAGAAUUCAGUGAAUCAUCGAAUCUUUGAACGCACAUUGCGCCCGCCAGUACUCUGGCGGGCAUGCCUGUUCGAGCGUCAUUUCAACCAUCAAGCCCCCGGCUUGUGUUGGGGACCUGCGGCUGCCGCAGGCCCUGAAAACCAGUGGCGGGCUCGCUGUCACACCGAGCGUAGUAGAUUUUCAUCUCGCUCAGGGCGUGCUGCGGGUUCCGGCCGUAAAAAGCCUUAUUUACCCAAGGUUGACCUCGGAUCAGGUAGGAAGACCCGCUGAACUUAAGCAUCUCAAUAAGCGGAGG